This 100-nucleotide small nuclear RNA is filed under the name Echinops telfairi (small Madagascar hedgehog). The record is from RNAcentral. Lineage: Eukaryota; Metazoa; Chordata; Mammalia; Afrosoricida; Tenrecidae.
CAGUGCUCGCUUUGGCAUGGAAAUUGGAGCGAUACAGAGAAGAUCAGCGCGGCCCCUGCGCACGGCUGGCAUGCAAACUCGUGAAGCGUCCCAUAGUUUU